AACAGCGUAAUCUUUUUAGAGAGUUCUUAUCGAAAUAAAGGGUUGCGACCUCGAUGUUG
Molecule: transfer RNA, 59 nt
Filed under: Elmis aenea
Lineage: Eukaryota; Metazoa; Arthropoda; Insecta; Coleoptera; Elmidae
Description: tRNA-Met
Source: RNAcentral